RNAcentral lists this ribosomal RNA (253 nucleotides) under uncultured bacterium. Its description in RNAcentral is "partial 16S ribosomal RNA". It matches the Rfam family "Bacterial small subunit ribosomal RNA", at positions 524 to 776 of the family's 1533-position model. The record is from RNAcentral.
UACGUAGGUGGCAAGCGUUGUCCGGAUUUAUUGGGUUUAAAGGGUGCGUAGGCGGUUCUAUAAGUCAGUGGUGAAAUCCGGCAGCUCAACUGUCGAUGUGCCAUUGAUACUGCAGAACUUGAGUACAGACGAGGUAGGCGGAAUUGACGGUGUAGCGGUGAAAUGCUUAGAUAUCGUCAAGAACACCGAUAGCGAAGGCAGCUUACUAGACUGUAACCGACGCUGAUGCACGAAAGUGUGGGGAUCAAACAGG